AAGACCUUGCGCUUUUGGAGCGGCCGAUGCCUGAUUAGCUUGUUGGUAAGGUAAAAGCUUACCAAGGCUUCGAUCAGUAGCUGGUCUGGGAGGACGACCAGCCACACUGGGACUGAGACACGGCCCAGACUCCUACGGGAGGCAGCAGUGGGGAAUUUUGGACAAUGGGGGCAACCCUGAUCCAGCCAUGCCGCGUGAGUGAAGAAGGCCUUCGGGUUGUAAAGCUCUUUCAGCCGGAACGAAACGGUUACGGUUAACACCCGUGACUACUGACGGUACCGGAAGAAGAAGCACCGGCUAACUACGUGCCAGCAGCCGCGGUAAUACGUAGGGUGCGAGCGUUAAUCGGAAUUACUGGGCGUAAAGCGUGCGCAGGUGGUUUUGUAAGUCAGAUGUGAAAGCCCCGGGCUCAACCUGGGAACU
RNAcentral lists this ribosomal RNA (423 nucleotides) under uncultured bacterium. RNAcentral describes it as "bacterial SSU rRNA". It matches the Rfam family "Bacterial small subunit ribosomal RNA", at positions 207 to 622 of the family's 1533-position model. The record is from RNAcentral.